UACGGAGGGUGCAAGCGUUAUCCGGAUUUAUUGGGUUUAAAGGGUCCGUAGGCGGAUUAGUAAGUCAGUGGUGAAAGCCCGCAGCUCAACUGUGGAACUGCCAUUGAUACUGCUAGUCUUGAGUGUAGUUGAAGUAGCUGGAAUGAGUAGUGUAGCGGUGAAAUGCAUAGAUAUUACUCAGAACACCAAUUGCGAAGGCAGGUUACUAAGUUACAACUGACGCUGAUGGACGAAAGCGUGGGGAGCGAACAGGAUUAGAUACCCUGGUAGUCCACGCCGUAAACGAUGCUGACUCGUUUUUGGGUUUUCGGAUUCAGAGACCAAGCGAAAGUGAUAAGUCAGCCACCUGGGGAGUACGGGCGCAAGCCUGAA
RNAcentral lists this ribosomal RNA (372 nucleotides) under uncultured bacterium. RNAcentral's name for it is "bacterial SSU rRNA". It matches the Rfam family "Bacterial small subunit ribosomal RNA", at positions 524 to 898 of the family's 1533-position model. The record is from RNAcentral.